GUGCUCACUUCCUCAGCCCUUGUGCAAAAAUUGGAACGAUACAGAGAAAAUUGGUGUGGCCUCUGUGCACAGAUGACACACAAAUUCAUGAAGCGUUCCCUAAAAAA
This is a small nuclear RNA of Zalophus californianus (California sea lion), 107 nucleotides long. The record is from Ensembl. Lineage: Eukaryota; Metazoa; Chordata; Mammalia; Carnivora; Otariidae.